GAUGAACGCUAGCGGCAGGCUUAACACAUGCAAGUCGAGGGGUAUUGGUUUUCGGACCAAGAGACCGGCGCACGGGUGCGUAACGCGUAUGCAAUCUACCUUUUGCAGAGGGAUAGCCCAGAGAAAUUUGGAUUAAUACCUCAUAGUAUAGUACUUUGGCAUCAAGGAACUAUUAAAGUCACAACGGCAAAAGAUGAGCAUGCGUCCCAUUAGCUAGUUGGUAAGGUAACGGCUUACCAAGGCUACGAUGGGUAGGGGUCCUGAGAGGGAGAUCCCCCACACUGGUACUGAGACACGGACCAGACUCCUACGGGAGGCAGCAGUGAGGAAUAUUGGACAAUGGGCGCAAGCCUGAUCCAGCCAUGCCGCGUGCAGGAUGACGGUCCUAUGGAUUGUAAACUGCUUUUAUACAGGAAGAAACACUCCGACGUGUCGGAGCUUGACGGUACUGUAAGAAUAAGGAU
Molecule: ribosomal RNA, 464 nt
Filed under: uncultured bacterium
Lineage: Bacteria
Description: bacterial SSU rRNA
Rfam family: Bacterial small subunit ribosomal RNA
Source: RNAcentral